AAGGCCCUGCUUGCAGGGUACUCGAGUGGCGAACGGGUGAGUAACACGUGGGUGUUCUGCCCUGCACUUCGGGAUAAGCCUGGGAAACUGGGUCUAAUACCGGAUAGGAGCCAUUUUUAGUGUGAUGGUUGGAAAGUUUUUUCGGUGUAGGAUGAGCUCGCGGCCUAUCAGCUUGUUGGUGGGGUAAUGGCCUACCAAGGCGGCGACGGGUAGCCGGCCUGAGAGGGUGGACGGUCACAUUGGGACUGAGAUACGGCCCAGACUCCUACGGGAGGCAGCAGUGGGGAAUAUUGCACAAUGGGCGCAAGCCUGAUGCAGCGACGCCGCGUGGGGGAUGACGGCCUUCGGGUUGUAAACUCCUUUCGCUAGGGAC
Molecule: ribosomal RNA, 373 nt
Filed under: uncultured Corynebacterium sp.
Lineage: Bacteria; Bacillati; Actinomycetota; Actinomycetes; Mycobacteriales; Corynebacteriaceae
Description: bacterial SSU rRNA
Rfam family: Bacterial small subunit ribosomal RNA
Source: RNAcentral